RNAcentral lists this ribosomal RNA (38 nucleotides) under Jenniferia cinerea. RNAcentral's name for it is "Hevansia cinerea partial 28S ribosomal RNA". The record is from RNAcentral. Lineage: Eukaryota; Fungi; Ascomycota; Sordariomycetes; Hypocreales; Cordycipitaceae.
GACCUCGGAUCAGGCAGGGAUACCCGCUGAACUUAAGC